RNAcentral lists this long non-coding RNA (208 nucleotides) under Capsicum annuum. RNAcentral describes it as "long non-coding RNA (CANN_LNC020832)". Lineage: Eukaryota; Viridiplantae; Streptophyta; Magnoliopsida; Solanales; Solanaceae. The record is from RNAcentral.
GAGUAUAACUUAAGCUAAGUGAUCACAAGUAUAACUGUCAUCCAUAUAGAAAUGGAAUAUAUCUCAAACUGUACCUAUGUUGACUCAUUGUUCUAAGAAAGUAGGAUACGUUAAACCCAUACUUUUUGCUCGGUGCUAAAUACUACUCCAUUUAAUCUAUAUGCUCAUUUCGCAGGAAAUCCACUUAAAUGGCUUAAUGAUUCAUACU